Molecule: long non-coding RNA, 1035 nt
Filed under: Mus spicilegus (steppe mouse)
Lineage: Eukaryota; Metazoa; Chordata; Mammalia; Rodentia; Muridae
Description: lncRNA (ENSMSIG00000016481.1)
Source: RNAcentral
GUGGCUUUUGAACGCUCCUGCAUUCAUCCUUUAUCCUGAGCAGCCCCUGGCCUCUCCCCUCCCAUUUAUUGCUCAGCCGCCCUCAUCACAAUCUCUCCCCAGUCUGCAAGGGAGCUGAUGGCUAUGAAUGAGAGCUAGGAAAGGAAGGAGGGGGGACAAAGACCCUCUGGUAACCAGAAAGACUCCUGAUUGUGGGUGAAGAGAUCUGAGGUUUGGUCUCUGGUGCCAUCACUCAUGAGGGAACCUUGGGUUCAUCUCUAGUCAGCUUCAGGUUCCCUUUCCAAGAGAGGAAGAAAGUCCAGCAGGAGCUUUGCCAGUUCUGACAUUCUCUCACGUGAAUACACACAGCUUGCGUGGCAGCAUUCUGGUUUCAUGUCUUAGUCACAAAGGUACUCCACUGUAUCAGAAUAUUUUCCUUGGCUGUGACCUCAGGCCAGGCCACAGGUCAGGACAGAAGAUAACACAGGGGGUUGUCAGAAGUCCCCAGGACCACUGAGGAAUGGAGAGAGCUAACCAACAGGGACAAAGUUCCAGAAGCAGCGAUCGUGACUCAUCUGGAUGUUAUGCUCCGUGAUGGUGACUAAUACGACCAAGGUCCACAGGUCAUGUGAGCAGAAAGUAUUUAAAUUCUAAAUUUGAAUGAUGUCAGUUUGCUCUAAAGCUGCUAUUGUUUUGUUUUUUGUUUUGUUUGAAACAGAUAUUCCUGUAGCUCAGGCUAUCCUCAAACUCAUUACAUAGCCAAGGAUGACCUUGCACUUCUGAUUCGCCUGUCUCUAUUUCCCAAGUGCUGGGAUUACAGCCCUGCUGUGCAAAUACUCUACCAUCUAAACUAUAUCCACAGCCAAAAGUCUCUGUUCUUUGAACUAUUUACUAUCUUCUAAAUCUAGCUUUCCUCGUCUCCUUUUUUCUCAUUCUGAACACAAACAUAAGGUCAUUCCUAUCUUCAGAUUAUGUCCCCUUUGGACCCUUGAAUGGGUCUCUCCAAUCAGAUGUCCCUGAAAUAAAGGCUUGAUAGCAGACCUUCCUGUUAAGAGU